UUAAGUCUCUGCCAGAAGCCCGAGACCUAUGGAGAGUGGCUGAUAUUAAGGCUUUCCAUCAGCAGAUAUGAGUCACGUUACACUGCAUUCCCUUCUUCGGUUUCCACUUUAAUGGUCAUUUUCUUCCCCCCCGAAAUAUUUUCAUCUCUCUCUGUCGCUCUCUCUCUCUCUCUCUCUCUCUUUUUUCCAGUUACAUGACAUCAACGUGGAGGAUGAUGCUCUGGGUUUCAGACUCUUCAGAUGUUGAUUCUUCUGCUUCUCUACCCUCUGGAGACUCUGCCUGCUGCCGUUUGGAUUUCAGAAAGGUCAUUGACACAACUGUGUGGGUUUCCAUCCAACACUGAAGAAUAAAUUGUUUCAUGUCAGGAAAUGGACAAAAAUGAUUGCCAAUCCAAUAUUCAAAAGCAUCACCAUGGCAACCAGAAUUGAGUUAGGACCCUGGAUUCUUCCACCGUUGCUUCUUCAACCAGGUCCAAGCUGGCCUUCUUGGUUUCAGCUAAGCUCUUUGGUUUAAUAGACUCUUGUUUCCUGAUCUUGACCUCUGGUUUGGGAGUGGGUGUGUUGAGCGUUUUGGGAGGUGGAGGCAUCCUGGCCAGACUGGACUGUGUGAUUUCAGGCUCCUCAUCUUCGGGCUCCUCUGGCGGUGGCAACUGCUUCACCGGCUUCACAUAAUAACUGUGAUAGGCAGUAUGAAGCUGCCCGUU
Non-coding RNA from Danio rerio (zebrafish), 704 nucleotides. The record is from Ensembl. Lineage: Eukaryota; Metazoa; Chordata; Actinopteri; Cypriniformes; Danionidae.